Molecule: RNA transcript, 2624 nt
Organism: Gopherus flavomarginatus (Mexican gopher tortoise)
Lineage: Eukaryota; Metazoa; Chordata; Testudines; Testudinidae
Gene: SERINC5
Gene name: serine incorporator 5
Exons: 13
Source: RefSeq, a predicted model, not a curated record
CUGUCCCGCCUGGCCGGAGCGAAGCGGGGCUGGGGGUGUCUGUGUGCUACCUGCCGAGCCAAGGCACGCGGGGACCGAGCGCUACCUGCCGGGCUGGCCGCUCCCGCUGAGCCUCGCCCGGGCCCUGUGAGGCGGCUGCGUUCGCUGCUGGGAGCUGAGCCCCGCCGCCUGGAGCCGGGAUGUCCGCGCGGUGCUGCGCGGGCCAGUUGGCCUGUUGCUGUGGUACUGCUGCUUGCUCCCUGUGCUGCAGAUGCUGCCCCAAGAUAAAGCAAUCUACGAGCACCCGCUUCAUGUAUGCACUUUACUUCAUACUGGUAACGGUCAUCUGCUGUAUCAUGAUGUCAAGAACAGUAGCUACCAAAAUGAAAGAGCGUAUUCCUUCUUAUGAGCACAUCUGCAAAGGUAUUCAAGCAGGUGAAAAGUGUGAGAAGCUAGUGGGAUACUCUGCGGUGUAUAGGGUCUCUUUUGGAAUGGCAUCUUUCUUCUUUGUCUUCUUCUUAUUCACCAUCAAAGUUAACAACAGCAAAAGCUGCCGAGCAUACAUUCACAAUGGGUUCUGGUUCAUUAAGCUUCUAGUUUUGGCAGCCAUGUGCUCAGGAGCUUUCUUCAUUCCAGAUCAAGGCACCUUCCUUAAUGCCUGGCGCUAUGUAGGUGUUGCAGGAGGAAUCCUUUUUAUACUCAUUCAGCUUAUCCUGCUUGUGGAGUUUGCACACAAAUGGAAUAAAAACUGGACGGCGGGCAUAACACGUAAUAAACUGUGGUAUGGCUUACUAGCUCUGGGCAUUCUCAUCUUGUACUCCAUUGCUGUGGGAGCCCUGAUUUUGAUGGCUGUCUUUUACACACGCUCUGAGGGCUGUACCUACAACAAGAUCCUGCUUGGUGUAAAUGGUGGCUUGUGCAUUCUUAUUUCAUUGGUAGCCAUCUCACCCUGUGUCCAAAGUCGCAAGCCACACUCUGGUUUGUUGCAGUCAGGAGUUAUCAGCUGCUAUGUCAUGUAUCUCACCUUCUCAUCUCUGUCAAGCAAACCACCAGAAACUAUCCUGGGUGAGAACCAUAAGAACAUUACAAUCUGCGUACCUGACUUUAGUCAGGGUUUGCACGGAGAUGAGAACCUGGUUACUGGAUUGGGCACUGCCCUUCUGUUUUGCUGCAUUUUAUAUUCUUGUUUGACCUCAACAACUCGUGCAAGCUCUGAAGCACUGAGAGGAGUAUAUGCAACGCCUGAAACUGAAGUAGCUCGUUGCUGCUUUUGCUGUGCACCCGAUGGAGAUGCUGACACCGAAGAGCAUGUUGAAAAAAGCGGCGGUCAGACUGUAAUUUAUGAUGAAAAGAGAGGCACAGUAUACAGCUAUGCCUACUUCCACUUCGUUUUCUUCUUGGCUUCUCUCUAUGUGAUGAUGACAGUAACUCACUGGUUCCAUUAUGAAAGUGCUGAGAUUGAAAAAUUCUUCCGUGGAACCUGGUCCACCUUCUGGAUUAAGAUGGUGUCAUGUUGGGUGUGUGUCCUACUCUACCUGUGGACUCUUGUAGCACCUCUCUGCUGUCCAACCCGAGAAUUCUCAGUGUGAGAAUUCACAAGCGCUAUUCUGUUACAAAUACAUCAGUCACUUUGUGAUGGAGAACACCUGGCAUUGGCCACCAUUGGAAGACAGGAUACUGGGCGAGAUGGACCUUUGAUCUGACCCGGUAUGACGUUCCUAUGUUCAUCAUCCUUUUACUUGGACCCUUUCUUUAAGCUGCAAGAAUUCAAUUCCUAAUGUGUUAAAAGAAAAAAACCCACACAAUCCUGAUGCAAAUAGAUGGUCUGUUAACACAUUAUCAUGCCUUCAUUGUUCUGUAUUGCAGUAAUUAUGGUAGUUCUAUUACUGCCAUAUUACUAUGAUAGAUUUGUUCUGUUAAUGCUAUCUCUAGUACUUCUAACAUGCAUAUCACUGGCAUCUGUGCACUGAGGGGUGAGAUGGAGAAUUCUGGUUCCUGACUUUAGCAGGAGUUAGAUGCAGAUUUUUAUACCCAGGGUAUAGGUACCCUCUUUCGUCAGCUUAUUGUUUGACUUUCCUGUUCUCCCAGGUCAUUUCCCAAACAACCCUUACAAAAAGCUAGCUUCCAGUAUUGCAUUUUAACAACUCAGUAAAACAGUUUGCUUAAUGCUAAGAACCAUCAUUGAAAUAAAGAGCAGAAAUAAACCUUUCCGCUAUGCUACUGGGGGAAGGAAGUGGGUGCUCCUGAGCCCCCUAAAGAUCUCUCAGGUAAAAGGUUUCUGGGCUUUCUCCUUGGAGCCAGAGCGGCAGGAAGCGACUGUCUCAUUCUGGGGUCUGAGUUGAACUGAUAUGGCUCUGCAAGAGUUGAAUUACUCCCAAACCCUGCACAUCCUCCUUCUCACGCAAACUCUGCAGAGUUUGCAAAAUCCUAUAAACUUUAUGCUACUAACCCCACUGUUCCCAGGGGCUUAGAUAUCCAUCAGAAUCCCCUCUGUUGAAAACUGAUGUGUGGGUUUCUUUGGUAUGACCACAAAUCUUUCCACAUUCUCUCUCACUCACACCCCAACACCACUUCAGCUUAAAUAAGUUUUUUGCUAUUACGUUAUGAAGGUGAACAAAUAGUUUUCUGGGUUUUGAUUGAUUGAU